RNAcentral lists this ribosomal RNA (465 nucleotides) under uncultured bacterium. RNAcentral's name for it is "partial 16S ribosomal RNA". It matches the Rfam family "Bacterial small subunit ribosomal RNA", at positions 338 to 795 of the family's 1533-position model. The record is from RNAcentral.
CCUACGGGUGGCAGCAGUGGUGAAUAUUGCGCAAUGGGCGACAGCCUGACGCAGCGACGCCGCGUGAGGGAUGAAGGUCUUCGGAUCGUCAACCUCUGUCCGCAGGGAAGAACCGUCCCUGUGCUAAUCAGCCGUGAAUUGACGGUACCUGCAAAGGAAGCACCGGCUAACUCCGUGCCAGCAGCCUCGGUAAUGCGGAGGGUGCGAACGUUCAUCGGAAUUACUGGGCGUAAAGCUCUCGGAGGCGGUAUGUCAAGUAAAGGGUGAAAUCCCCGCGCUCAACGUGGGAACUGCCUUUGAAACUGGCAAACUGGAGUGUGUGAGAGGAUAGUGGAAUGCCAGGUGUAGGAGUGAAAUCCGUAGAUAUCUGGAGGAACAGCAGUGGCGAAGGCGACUAUCUGGCACAUAACUGACGCUGAGGAGCGAAAGCGUGGGUAGCAAACAGGAUUAGAUACCCCAGUAGUC